GGUUAUACAGUUCUUGUCUAUAACGGUGAAGAGCAGGCAAGAAGAAAUAGUUAGUCAAGCUGUUAGCUAACUCUGCUGAAAGAAUAAAUAGCAAAGAACCAAAUGCCGUGAUCCCAGGGACCACUCUAGGUCUGCAUUUCUGCCUUCAUUUUCAAACCAUUAAAUGCCAGAGGAAAAUGUACUUUCAGUGCCAGAAGAGAAAUGGGAGAAGAGAGUUUCACAACAGAGCUGUCAGUUAAGUUUUAUACUGCGGGACUCUUAUCUCCUGAUCAAGCUCUACACUUCUAUGUUGGGGAAAACUAUGGCUUCUACAGAGGAAGGGACAGAAGAUACACUGAAAUGAAGGACUCAAGCAUCAGUUCCUACAUAUGCUGGAAGUGGUCUAGGUUGCUCCAGAACCGCCUGGGGCUUUGUACAUGACUUUCAAAAUGGAUAGCUUAACUCAGUUUAACCUGUCUUCUAU
Molecule: long non-coding RNA, 463 nt
Organism: Athene cunicularia (burrowing owl)
Lineage: Eukaryota; Metazoa; Chordata; Aves; Strigiformes; Strigidae
Exons: 3
Source: RefSeq, a predicted model, not a curated record